GAAGGCGGCCAGAGCGGUGGAGGAACACCCGUACCCAUUCCGAACACGGAAGUUAAGCCCACCAGCGUACCGGGAAGUACUGGAGUGAGCGAUCCUCUGGGAACCGCGGUUCGCCGCCUACCC
This 123-nucleotide ribosomal RNA is filed under the name Halorubrum sp. BV1. Lineage: Archaea; Methanobacteriati; Methanobacteriota; Halobacteria; Halobacteriales; Haloferacaceae. The record is from RNAcentral.